UGACUUGUCAGGGAGAAUAACAGUCCCAGGACUGGGAAAGGAGGCAGGAAAAAUCAGCAAAGGAAAUGGCAUAUCCUGUGGAACAAAGCCGGAGGGACCUGCCAAGUCCUUAAGGAACCAGCACGGUCUAUGCUUCCAUGUGUAUCUGAGAGAAUGCCUCCAACGACACUGGGUUGAAACUGAAUCACUGAGGAUGGAAGUCUUAUACCGUGUUCCAGAGAGUUUGACCAGGGAGCAAGGAAAGAGCCAGAGAAGGCUUCUUCCACCGCCAGUCAGUCUUCAGAGAAAAGAAUGACAGGGCCACUUGCAGCCACUCUGCUCUUCUGGAAUAUUUAUAGCUUCCAGCGAGCCUUCGCCUUCUUCAUCCUCCAAGAAUGAUCAUCAGUUUCUCUGAAAUGAGCCUCAAUGACUGUCAGCAUGGAAUUGUUUUUCAAAGCCCUUGGGAAGUUUCUCUUCCACUUCUUUGUUGGAAAUUAGAGUCACUGGGAGAACCACCUUCUAGACAAUGAAGACCUGAAGGCUGGAUAUCUAGGAGAAACACAGACAGUGCAUGGAAAACAUGAUGUCCCAAAAUCACAGGUCAAAUUUUCCAGGGAGGUGUGCUCAGAAAUGUGGGCAAUGUAAAGGCACUUUGUGAUUACUAAGUGUCUGGAUACAACAUCACUAAGGCUGGAGCAGUGAGACAUCACCACGAGUCCAUCGCCCCUGUGCUCUCAUAUGCCAGAGCUCCGGAGUGAAAAACCAGAUCCCAGGACCAGCAUAAUGGUGCAGAUGCCCUGGAUCCUGUGAAGAACAAGGUGGUGAGUGCUACAGCCCAGGGACUCUGGUCCCCAGGGCAGAAGAAAAAUCCUUCAUAAAAUAGCCUGGAAACACUGAAAGUGAAUGAUAGCAGGAAAUGUGAAAACAACAACAAAAGCGAAAGCAAAACACAGCACUAGAAAAAACAUGUCAAAGUCCACCGACUUUCUCCUGUGGAGAAGCCAGGAGGUAUAUGUUUGGGGGAGGCACAGUCAAGAUCACCAGCAGCAAAAGGUGGACAAAUAGGUCCAAAUGCUAUGGGUUCUGAGUAUCUAGAGAGGAGGCUCUUGACACGAGCAUGGUGAGAAUGUGUGUGUGACCCACGGCAUAGGCAGGUGGUCGUGAUAUUCAGUUAUAGGGCAGUGCACCAGCGAGAAUGACAGUGACCUUCCAGCUUAUUCCCUAACUUGGCUGUCUUCUCCACCCAUGGUAUGGUAGAGGUCUAGAGAAAUGGUCAGCCUCUCCACCUUUAUCUCUCUUCCUGGAGGCACCAAAGGGGUUUAUCUUCUUUGGUUAGAUUGGUAAUUACAUGUGUGCCUCUGGCAAAGGUCCUAGCUCAGCCACAGCUGCAUCCUGGUUACUAACACAAGUCCUGUGGGGCCUGGUUACUAACACAAGCUUUAUUUGACAUGAGGGUCCAAGUCCUCCAAACUCAGGGCUUUCUGAGGCUGGUGGAAGUGUGGAGUUAGAUAAGAAGGUCUCAGAAUCCUCCACGAUAGGCUGGGGUUACAUUCCUUGGCACUAGGGGCAAAGCAGAGAAUAGUCUAGCUCUUCUUUGGAAAGAGAUUACUCCUAAACUCGAAGGGGAUCAAUAUCCAGAGCCAGGAUUUAACCCAAAUUGAUUUUGUUCAAAGCCUACAUUCUUUUUAUGCUCCUGCACUCAUAACAAGGGGAGGAAGCAUUUGACUGAAUAAGUGAUAUUGGGAUGACUGAAUUACAAGCAAUUUUUUCUAAAGAUUUUAUUGAUUUACUUUAGGCUGGGAGAGGGAGAAGCAACUUCCCUCCUGAGCAAGGAGCCUGACAUGGGACUCAAUCGCAGGACUCUGGGAUCAUGACCUGAGCCAGACACAGAUGCUGAACCGACUGAGCCACCCAGGCAGCCUGAAUUACAAGCAAUUUGGAAUUAAGUUUAAAUAUCUUGGGCUAUAUACCAAAAUAAACUCAAAAUCAAGAGUUUACUAUUGAAUGAUAGGAAAACUAGCAUAAAUUAGAAUCUGAUAUCAGAUACUUGAUUAAACCACUUUCUAAAAUUUGAAGCAGGUAACAUAAUAGAAGAAACAGAUUGACAGAAAUUUACAUGCAAAAUAUAAACAUCAACACAACAGUUAUAAACAGGCAAUGAACAGGAACACAUUUAAAUGGGAAGAAAACAAUCAUCAACAAAUACUUUGAAAGAUUUUAAACUUAUGUACAAAAUAAACAUUAACUGGUACUAUUCCAAGGUACUAUUGAAAAAAGAAUUAGGGUAAACUAGUAAAGUGAUAAUGAUUUUUUUACUGGGGGAUAAAAGUUUGACAAUUCCUCUUAUGAAUCACUUCUCUGUAAUCCUUCUCUGUAAUUCCUCUUAUGAAUCACUUCUCUAUAAAGUCUACUUCUGGGACUUUAUCUUAGGAGUCAUUUGAAAAACAAGUUAGUUGAAAUGACAGUGUACCAUGGAAGUAAAGAAUACAGGCUUUAGAGGUUUCAACAUAUCCAAGUUCAAAUCCUGGCUCUGAUUUACUCAUUUUAUAACCUUGAGUAAAUUAUUUAUGAUAAGCUUCUGUUUCUUCAUCUCUAAGUUGAAAAUGUAAAUAUAUGAUGUAAAGUACUUAGUGUUCAAUAAAUGGAUGCCAGCUAAAAGCAAAGAAUGACUCCCAACAGGUGAAAGUUGGAAACAAACAAUACUCAAUAUGAAUGAAGUUAUGAAAAUUGAUGUAUAUAUAUCAGGUGGAACAUUAAGCAAGCAUUGAAAAGACAGUAAUGAAGACUCUGAUAAUGGAUGAUAUCUAAGACGUGCUAAAUAAACAUAUAAUGAAAACAUUUCUAUAUUUACAAUGCAAAUAGCUAAUAAAAUAUGUACACAGGUGAACAAAGAUUGGAAAAGAAUGUGAAUUAACAAAAACACAGAAGCUCACAUAAUGGGGAUUUAAAAUGCUUUCCUCAAUGUUACCCUGUUUUUGCCAAUAAAUGAAAAACAUAAGAAAAAAAAAAACAACAGCUGAGACUUCUGGCAUCUAGUGUGGUGUACAAGGAGCCUAGCAGGAGCCAUCCUAUUGUUAAUGAGCCAAAACCUGAACAAUCCAAAAACCAACAAGUCUUCUUAAUUAUUGCAGAGAACUGAGGUCAAAAUUAGAAAGACAGACAGGUGGACGCAGAGAAUCCCCACUUACUGGAUCUGCGACCUCCGUGGGAACAAGGACUAGCACAUGAAAACUUAAACUGUAACUGAUGGGCCCCUGGGUGGCUCAGUCUGUUAAGCAUCUGCCUUUGGCUCAGGUCAUGAUCCCAGGGUACAGGGAUCCAGCCCCACAUCGGGCUCCCUGCUCAGAAGAGAGCCUGCUUCUCCCUCUGCUCCUCCCCCUGCUUGUUCUCUCUCUCUCUCUGUGUCAAAUAAAUAAAAUCUUAAAAAAAAAAAAAAAAGAAAAGAAAAGAAAAGAAAAAAACCAAAAAAACUGUAACAGACAAACUUUGGAGGCUCAGGGGGGAUCAAUGCUACACAUGGCAGGAGGGCCAGGCUUUUGUGAGUUUUAGCUCCAGGAGCUCUGCGAGGUUCUUACAGUGAGCACUGGGAAGAAAUCUCCUGUUUCUGGCAGGGAGAAGGGGAAAGCAGCCAGGGCAUUCUGUUCUUUGGGCGGCCUGCCCUCAAAAAAAACGGUUUCAUCAGAGCUAACCGCUUAAGCCUGUAUCAGAACCUGACUAAGCUGGAGGAAGGGCAGACACCCACCUCUGGCCUCCUCUCGCCACCCGGCGACCUUGUAAAAUUUACAGUCCGGAGGCACAGGCUCUCUACCAGACUGCUGCAGCUCUGGUAGCCAAGUCCACUAAGCUGCGAGCUGGAGAAAGAACUAAGAGGGUAUCUGCCAGUGCAGUCAGUUUUCCCCAGAUCCCUGCCCAAUGACUUCAUUUAAACUGCUCUGGCCCCCAAGGGACAAGUAAGGCUGGCAAGAAUGUUGUAUUCCUGGGUGCCUGGGUGGCUUGUUUGAGUAAGCAUCUGCCUUCGGCUCAGGUCAUGAUCCCAGGGUCCUGGGAUCGAGCCCCACAUUGGGCUCCCUGCUCCAUGAGGGUCUGCUUCUCUCUCUCCUACUGCCUGCCCACCCUCUGCAUGUGCCACAUCCUGCCCCCAUCAAAUAAAUAAAUCAAAUCUUUAAAAAAAAUUUCCUAAUUUAAAAAAAAUUUAAAAAUAUAUAAAUAUGUUCAAAUCCUAAUCCCCAGAACCUGGGCAUACGUUUGGUUACAGGGCAAAGGGUUAUUAAAGUUGCUAAAGAGCUGACUGUAGGGCGCUUGGGUGGCUCAGUUGUUUAAGUCACAACCUUUGGCUCAGGUCAUGAUUCCAGACUCCUGGGAUCGAGUCUGGCAUCGGGCUCCCAGCUCUGCAGGGAGUCUGCUUCUCCCUCUGACUUUCUCCCCUCUCAUGCUCUCCCUCACUCUCUCUCUCUCAAAUAAAUAAAUAAAAUCUAAAAAAAAAAAAAAAAAAAAAAAAAAAAAAGCUGACUGUAAAAUGGGGAGAUUAUCCUGCUUACGUGAGUAAUGGAAUGGAAUCACCAGUGUCUUUAUGAGUGAAAGAAGUAGAAGAAGGAGAACCAGAGGGACGGUAGCAUGGGACGGUUUUGCUAUUGUUCACCUUGAAAAUGGAGCCAAGAAUGUGGGAAGCCUCAAGAAGUGAGAAGUAACAAGGCACGGAUUCUCUCUUAAAGCCUCCAGAAAGGAAUACAAUCCUGUCAAUACUUUGAUACUAUCCCAAGGAGACCCAUUUCAGACUUCUGAACUAUAGAACUGUAAGAUAAUAAACUUGAGUUGUUUAAAGCCA
This is a long non-coding RNA of Mustela lutreola (European mink), 4804 nucleotides long. RefSeq lists it as uncharacterized. The record is from RefSeq and is a predicted model, not a curated record. Lineage: Eukaryota; Metazoa; Chordata; Mammalia; Carnivora; Mustelidae. The transcript has 2 exons.